Molecule: ribosomal RNA, 253 nt
Filed under: uncultured bacterium
Lineage: Bacteria
Description: partial 16S ribosomal RNA
Rfam family: Bacterial small subunit ribosomal RNA
Source: RNAcentral
UACGAAGGGGGCUAGCGUUGUUCGGAAUUACUGGGCGUAAAGCGCACGCAGGCGGUCCGAUUAGUCAGAAGUGAAAGCCCCGGGCUCAACCUGGGAACUGCUUUUGACACUGUCGGGCUUGAAUCAUGGAGAGGGUAGGGGAAUUCCGAGUGUAGAGGUGAAAUUCGUAGAUAUUCGGAAGAACACCAGUGGCGAAGGCGCCUACCUGGCCAUCGAUUGACGCUCAUGUGCGAAAGCGUGGGGAGCAAACAGG